This 889-nucleotide ribosomal RNA is filed under the name Alternaria sp. RNAcentral's name for it is "partial large subunit ribosomal RNA". It matches the Rfam family "Eukaryotic large subunit ribosomal RNA", at positions 61 to 968 of the family's 3401-position model. The record is from RNAcentral. Lineage: Eukaryota; Fungi; Ascomycota; Dothideomycetes; Pleosporales; Pleosporaceae.
GAAACCAACAGGGAUUGCCCUAGUAACGGCGAGUGAAGCGGCAACAGCUCAAAUUUGAAAUCUGGCUCUUUUAGAGUCCGAGUUGUAAUUUGCAGAGGGCGCUUUGGCUUUGGCAGCGGUCCAAGUUCCUUGGAACAGGACGUCACAGAGGGUGAGAAUCCCGUACGUGGUCGCUGGCUAUUGCCGUGUAAAGCCCCUUCGACGAGUCGAGUUGUUUGGGAAUGCAGCUCUAAAUGGGAGGUACAUUUCUUCUAAAGCUAAAUAUUGGCCAGAGACCGAUAGCGCACAAGUAGAGUGAUCGAAAGAUGAAAAGCACUUUGGAAAGAGAGUCAAACAGCACGUGAAAUUGUUGAAAGGGAAGCGCUUGCAGCCAGACUUGCUUACAGUUGCUCAUCCGGGUUUCUACCCGGUGCACUCUUCUGUAGGCAGGCCAGCAUCAGUUUGGGCGGUAGGAUAAAGGUCUCUGUCACGUACCUCCUUUCGGGGAGGCCUUAUAGGGGAGACGACAUACUACCAGCCUGGACUGAGGUCCGCGCAUCUGCUAGGAUGCUGGCGUAAUGGCUGUAAGCGGCCCGUCUUGAAACACGGACCAAGGAGUCUAACAUCUAUGCGAGUGUUUGGGUGUCAAGCCCGAGCGCGUAAUGAAAGUGAACGGAGGUGGGAACCCGCAAGGGUGCACCAUCGACCGAUCCUGAUGUCUUCGGAAGGAUUUGAGUAAGAGCAUGGCUGUUGGGACCCGAAAGAUGGUGAACUAUGCUUGAAUAGGGUGAAGCCAGAGGAAACUCUGGUGGAGGCUCGCAGCGGUUCUGACGUGCAAAUCGAUCGUCAAAUUUGGGCAUAGGGGCGAAAGACUAAUCGAACUAUCUAGUAGCUGGUUCCUGCCGAAGUU